CAUUGAGCUGCUGACAGGAGAGGUUCCUAUAAGGUGUCAGGAUGUCUCUGUCUAUUUCUCCAUGGAGGAGUGGGAGUAUCUAGGAGGACACAAGGAGCUCUACAAGGACAUCAUGAUGAAGAACUGGCCGCCCCUCACAUCACCGGAUGGGUCCAGGAACAGAAAUCCCCCAGAGAGAUGUCCCCGUC
Molecule: long non-coding RNA, 188 nt
Organism: Nanorana parkeri
Lineage: Eukaryota; Metazoa; Chordata; Amphibia; Anura; Dicroglossidae
Exons: 3
Source: RefSeq, a predicted model, not a curated record